RNAcentral lists this ribosomal RNA (275 nucleotides) under uncultured Opitutus sp. Its description in RNAcentral is "partial 16S ribosomal RNA". It matches the Rfam family "Bacterial small subunit ribosomal RNA", at positions 338 to 606 of the family's 1533-position model. Lineage: Bacteria; Pseudomonadati; Verrucomicrobiota; Opitutia; Opitutales; Opitutaceae. The record is from RNAcentral.
CCUACGGGAGGCUGCAGUUUCGAAUCAUUCACAAUGGGCGAAAGCCUGAUGGUGCGACGCCGCGUGAGGGAUGAAGGUCUUCGGAUUGUAAACCUCUGUCACCGAGGAAGAAACGCUACAUUUUAAUAGCAUGUAGCCUGACUUAACUCGGAGAGGAAGCAGUGGCUAACUCUGUGCCAGCAGCCGCGGUAAUACAGAGACUGCAAGCGUUAUUCGGAUUCACUGGGCGUAAAGGGUGCGCAGGCGGCCAUGUGUGUUAGGUGUGAAAUCCCGAG